GACGAACGCUGGCGGCGUGGAUUAGGCAUGCAAGUCGAACGGUAUCAUCCUUUCGGGGGUGAGAGAGUGGCGAACUGGUGAGUAACACGUAGGUUAUCUACCCUCAAGACGGGGACAACCCAGGGAAACUUGGGCUAAUACCGGAUGUGAGCAACUUUUAGUUGUUUGAAAGGUGGCGUAAGCUGUCGCUUGGGGAUGAGCCUGCGUCCUAUUAGUUAGUUGGUGAGGUAACGGCUCACCUAGGCAAUGAUAGGUAGGCGGCCUUAACGGGUGGUCGCCCACACUGGGAUUGAGAUACGGCCCAGACUCCUACGGGAGGCAGCAGUCGAGAAUAGUCUACAAUGGUCGGAAGACUGAUAGUGCGACGCCGCGUGAACGAUGAAUCCCUUCGGGGUUAAAGUUCUUUUAAUGUGAGCAGUGCUUCUAUAUUAACAGUAUGGGGAAGAGAUAUUAGCAUAUGAAUAAGCAACGGCUAACUCCGUGCCAGCAGCCGCGGUAAUAC
RNAcentral lists this ribosomal RNA (502 nucleotides) under uncultured bacterium. RNAcentral's name for it is "bacterial SSU rRNA". It matches the Rfam family "Bacterial small subunit ribosomal RNA", at positions 28 to 526 of the family's 1533-position model. The record is from RNAcentral.